This 499-nucleotide ribosomal RNA is filed under the name uncultured bacterium. Its description in RNAcentral is "partial 16S ribosomal RNA". It matches the Rfam family "Bacterial small subunit ribosomal RNA", at positions 28 to 507 of the family's 1533-position model. The record is from RNAcentral.
GAUGAACGCUGGCGGCGUGCCUAAUACAUGCAAGUCGAGCGAACAGACGAGAGUGCUUGCACUCUCUGACGUUAGCGGCGGACGGGUGAGUAACACGUGGGUAACCUACCUAUAAGACUGGGAUAACUUCGGGAAACCGGAGCUAAUACCGGAUAAUAUUUAGCUUCGCAUGAAGCAAUAGUGAAAGACGGUUCUGCUGUCACUUAUAGAUGGACCCGCGGUGUAUUAGCUAGUUGGUGAGGUAACGGCUCACCAAGGCAACGAUACAUAGCCGACCUGAGAGGGUGAUCGGCCACACCGGGACUGAGACACGGCCCAGACUCCUACGGGAGGCAGCAGUAGGGAAUCUUCCGCAAAGGACGAAAGUCUGACGGAGCAAUGCCGCGUGAGUGAAGAAGGUGUUCGGAUCGUAAAACUCUGUUGUAAGGGAAGAACAAGUACGUUAGUAACUGAACGUACCUUGACGGUACCUUACCAGAAAGCCACGGCUAACUACGUG